RNAcentral lists this ribosomal RNA (524 nucleotides) under uncultured bacterium. RNAcentral's name for it is "bacterial SSU rRNA". It matches the Rfam family "Bacterial small subunit ribosomal RNA", at positions 983 to 1509 of the family's 1533-position model. The record is from RNAcentral.
GACAUCCAGAGAACUUAGCAGAGAUGCUUUGGUGCCUUCGGGAACUCUGAGACAGGUGCUGCAUGGCUGUCGUCAGCUCGUGUUGUGAAAUGUUGGGUUAAGUCCCGCAACGAGCGCAACCCUUAUCCUUGUGCCAGCGGUUCGGCCGGGAACUCAAAGGAGACUGCCGGUGAUAAACCGGAGGAAGGUGGGGAUGACGUCAAGUCAUCAUGGCCCUUACGGCCAGGGCUACACACGUGCUACAAUGGCGCAUACAAAGAGAAGCGACCUCGCGAGAGCAAGCGGACCUCAUAAAGUGCGUCGUAGUCCGGAUUGGAGUCUGCAACUCGACUCCAUGAAGUCGGAAUCGCUAGUAAUCGUAGAUCAGAAUGCUACGGUGAAUACGUUCCCGGGCCUUGUACACACCGCCCGUCACACCAUGGGAGUGGGUUGCAAAAGAAGUAGGUAGCUUAACCUUCGGGAGGGCGCUUACCACUUUGUGAUUCAUGACUGGGGUGAAGUCGUAACAAGGUAAGCGUAGCGAG